This 847-nucleotide ribosomal RNA is filed under the name Aureobasidium sp. BJ-2021h. RNAcentral's name for it is "partial large subunit ribosomal RNA". It matches the Rfam family "Eukaryotic large subunit ribosomal RNA", at positions 71 to 938 of the family's 3401-position model. Lineage: Eukaryota; Fungi; Ascomycota; Dothideomycetes; Dothideales; Saccotheciaceae. The record is from RNAcentral.
GGGAUUGCCCUAGUAACGGCGAGUGAAGCGGCAACAGCUCAAAUUUGAAAGCUAGCCUUCGGGUUCGCAUUGUAAUUUGUAGAGGAUGCUUUGGGUAAAACGCCAGUCUAAGUUCCUUGGAACAGGACGUCAUAGAGGGUGAGAAUCCCGUAUGUGACUGGAAAUGUUAACCUAUGUAAAGCUCCUUCGACGAGUCGAGUUGUUUGGGAAUGCAGCUCUAAAUGGGAGGUAAAUUUCUUCUAAAGCUAAAUAUUGGCGAGAGACCGAUAGCGCACAAGUAGAGUGAUCGAAAGAUGAAAAGCACUUUGGAAAGAGAGUUAAAAAGCACGUGAAAUUGUUGAAAGGGAAGCGCUUGCAAUCAGACUUGUUUAAACUGUUCGGCCGGUCUUCUGACCGGUUUACUCAGUUUGGACAGGCCAGCAUCAGUUUCGGCGGCCGGAUAAAGGCUCUGGGAAUGUGGCCUCCACUUCGGUGGAGGUGUUAUAGCCCAGUGUGUAAUACGGCCAGCCGGGACUGAGGUCCGCGCUUCGGCUAGGAUGCUGGCGUAAUGGUUGUAAGCGACCCGUCUUGAAACACGGACCAAGGAGUCUAACAUCUAUGCGAGUGUUCGGGUGUCAAACCCCUGCGCGUAAUGAAAGUGAACGGAGGUGGGAACCGCAAGGUGCACCAUCGACCGAUCCUGAUGUCUUCGGAUGGAUUUGAGUAAGAGCAUAGCUGUUGGGACCCGAAAGAUGGUGAACUAUGCCUGAAUAGGGUGAAGCCAGAGGAAACUCUGGUGGAGGCUCGCAGCGGUUCUGACGUGCAAAUCGAUCGUCAAAUUUGGGUAUAGGGGCGAAAGACUAAUCGA